CGCCUAUAGCCUUACUUUUUUGCUGUUUUUUGGCCAUUUAUGGAAAAUGGAAAAAGUCGCUAAAAAUGGAAGAAAAGUAAAGGCUAUAGGCUUACUUUUUUGCUGUUUUUUGGCCAUUUAUGAAAAAUGAAAAAAGUCGCAAAAAAUGGACGAAAAGUUAAGCCUAUAGCCUUACUUUUUUGCUGUUUUUUUGCCAUUUAUUAAAAAUGAAAAAGUCGCAAAAAAUGGACGAAAAGUUAAGGCUAUAGCCUUACUUUUUUGCUGUUUUUUUGCCAUUUAUGAAAAAUGAAAAAAGUCGCUAAAAAUGGACGAAAAGUUAAGGCUAUAGCCUUACUUUUUUGCUGUUUUUUAGCCAUUUAUGAAAAAUGAAAAAAGUCACUGAAAAUGGACGAAAAGUUAAGGGUAUAGCCUUACUUUUUUGCUGUUUUUUUGCCAUUUAUGAAAAAUGAAAAAAGUCACUGAAAAUGGACGAAAAGUUAAGGUAUAGGCUUACUUUUUGCUGGGUUUUUUUGCCAUUUAUGAAAAAUGAAAAAAGUCGCAAAAAAUGGACGAAAAGUUAAGCCUAUAGCCUUACUUUUUUGCUGUUUUUUUGCCAUUUAUUAAAAAUGAAAAAGUCGCAAAAAAUGGACGAAAAGUUAAGCCUAUAGCCUUACUUUUUUGCUGUUUUUUUGCCAUUUAUGAAAAAUGAAAAAGUCGCAAAAAAUGGACGAGGCUAUAGCUAUCGCCUUACUUUUUUGCUGUUUUUUUGCCAUUUAUGAAAAAUGAAAAAAGUCAAAAUGGACGAAAAGUUAAGGGUAUAGGCUUACUUUUUUGUUUUUUGGCUAUUUAUGAAAAAUGAAAAAGUCGCAAAAAAUGGACGAAAGUCAAGUAUAGCCUUACUUUUUUUCUGUUUUUUGGCCAUUUAUGAAAAAUGAAAAAAGUCGCAAAAAAGGACGACUAUAGCCUUACUUUUUUGCUGUUUUUUUGCCAUUUAUGAAAAAUGAAAAAAGUCGCAAAAAAUGGAGACGAGGCUAUAGCCUUACUUUUUUGCUGUUUUUUUGCCAUUUAUGGAAAAUGAAAAAAGUCGCUAAAAAUGGAAGAAAAGUUAAGGCUAUAGCCUUACUUUUUUGCUGUUUUUUUUGCCAUUUAUGGAAAACGAAAAAAGUCGCUAAAAUUCGACGAAAAGUUAAGGCUAUAGGCUUACUUUUUUGCUGUUUUUUAGCCAUUUAUGAAAAAUGAAAAAAGUCACUGAAAAUGGACGAAAAGUUAAGGGUAUAGGCUUACUUUUUGCUGUUUUUUUUGCCAUUUAUGAAAAAUGAAAAAAGUCGCAAAAAAUGGACGAAAAGUUAAGCCUAUAGCCUUACUUUUUUGCUGUUUUUUUUUGCCAUUUAUGAAAAAUGAAAAAAGUCGCAAAAAAUGGACGAAAAGUUAAGGUUAUAGCCUUACUUUUUUUCUGUUUUUUGGCCAUUUAUGACAAAUGAAAAAAGUCGCUAAAAUGACGAAAAGUUAAGGCUAUAGCCUUACUUUUUUGCUGUUUUUUAGCCAUUUAUGAAAAAUGAAAAAAGUCAAAUGGACGAAAAGUUAAGGGGUAUAGGCUUACUUUUUGCUGGGUUUUUUUGCCAUUUAUGAAAAAUGAAAAAAGUCGCAAAAAAUGGACGAAAAGUUAAG
Paramuricea clavata is the source of this 1647-nucleotide non-coding RNA. The record is from the annotation of a GenBank genome assembly. Lineage: Eukaryota; Metazoa; Cnidaria; Anthozoa; Malacalcyonacea; Plexauridae.